AGUGAUGAUAGAGGUGCAAGGUUCAAGAGUAGUACAUUCGAGGGCGAACAAGUCCAGUGAAAAUGUAUGAAAGGGGAGCUUGCCGAAGUGGAGCGUCGUUGUUUCCGAUGCUGUGCUGGUUUUACAUUUAAGAGAUGUAAGACUGUCGAAUCUAAACGUUUCGGAGAGCUAUCACACAU
This 179-nucleotide non-coding RNA is filed under the name Lysinibacillus xylanilyticus. RNAcentral describes it as "Lysine sequence". It matches the Rfam family "Lysine riboswitch aptamer". From Rfam's summary of the family: Riboswitches are metabolite binding domains within certain messenger RNAs that serve as precision sensors for their corresponding targets. Allosteric rearrangement of mRNA structure is mediated by ligand binding, and this results in modulation of gene expression. The record is from RNAcentral. Lineage: Bacteria; Bacillati; Bacillota; Bacilli; Caryophanales; Bacillaceae.